This 510-nucleotide ribosomal RNA is filed under the name uncultured bacterium. RNAcentral's name for it is "bacterial SSU rRNA". It matches the Rfam family "Bacterial small subunit ribosomal RNA", at positions 1 to 505 of the family's 1533-position model. The record is from RNAcentral.
CCCUUAGAGUUUGAUCCUGGCUCAGGAUGAACGCUAGCUACAGGCUUAACACAUGCAAGUCGAGGGGCAGCAUGAACUUAGCUUGCUAAGUUUGAUGGCGACCGGCGCACGGGUGAGUAACACGUAUCCAACCUGCCGAUGACUCGGGGAUAGCCUUUCGAAAGAAAGAUUAAUACCCGAUGGCAUAGUUCUUCCGCAUGGUAGAACUAUUAAAGAAUUUCGGUCAUCGAUGGGGAUGCGUUCCAUUAGGUUGUUGGCGGGGUAACGGCCCACCAAGCCUUCGAUGGAUAGGGGUUCUGAGAGGAAGGUCCCCCACAUUGGAACUGAGACACGGUCCAAACUCCUACGGGAGGCAGCAGUGAGGAAUAUUGGUCAAUGGACGAGAGUCUGAACCAGCCAAGUAGCGUGAAGGAUGACUGCCCUAUGGGUUGUAAUCUUCUUUUAUACGGGAAUAAAGUGAGGCACGUGUGCCUUUUAGUAUGUACCGUAGAAUAAGGAUCGGCAACUCUG